CACGGUUGCUCCCAAGGAGCUUUGUCUCGUGCCCGCUGGAGCCCUCAUAAUUAAGACAGAAAAAAAAACGAAGCCAAGACGGAGAACUGGGAGGCACUGGAAAACUGCAAAGCAAGCAAGUGCCGGCAAAACAAAGCCCCUUCGUGCUACCACAGCAACCGUAAUUGCAACCCCUUAUUAGGCUGUACACACCGAAUCCACCCACGUCUCCUAGCUGAUUCUUUUUCAGAUGCUGCUGAGUUGUAAAACCUGAGCAAGCCUUGCCACACACUCCCAGUCACUGCUACCCUGCUGGAUUAGAAGAUGAAAUGUGCUGCUCAUUGAUGGAUGCCAAUGGAGAAUGAAUCAUAUUAAACAAGAAGAACUUGCAAUACAGAAGAAGGGGACCGUGUGCAUUAAGCAUUUGAUCAUGUAAUCAUUGGAGUCCAGCCGUUAAAGAACCAUGAAGAUAUUGACGAGCUCUGAAUAUAUUCUCCAAAUCUUCUUUGAAAUGAAAAUCUGCUUACUUGACAGAACAUCUCUUGGUGACGUUUUCUGAUAAAUAAGAAUAUACUGAGCUG
Molecule: long non-coding RNA, 560 nt
Organism: Protopterus annectens (West African lungfish)
Lineage: Eukaryota; Metazoa; Chordata; Ceratodontiformes; Protopteridae
Exons: 5
Source: RefSeq, a predicted model, not a curated record